This 318-nucleotide ribosomal RNA is filed under the name uncultured bacterium. RNAcentral describes it as "bacterial SSU rRNA". It matches the Rfam family "Bacterial small subunit ribosomal RNA", at positions 193 to 507 of the family's 1533-position model. The record is from RNAcentral.
CCUCUACUUGUAAGCUAUCGCUGAGGGAUGGGCCUGCGGGCCAUUAGCUGUUGGUGAGGUAACGGCUCACCAAGGCUGUGAUGGCUAGCUGGUCUGAGAGGAUGACCAGCCACACUGGGACUGAGACACGGCCCAGACUCCUACGGGAGGCAGCAGUGGGGAAGUAUUGCGCAAUGGGCGAAAGCCUGACGCAGCGACGCCGCGUGGGUGAUGAAGGCCUUCGGGUCGUAAAGCCCUGUCGCAGGGGAAGAAUAAGCAUCGGUAUAAUACGCCGGUGCCCUGACGGUACCCUGCAAGAAAGCACCGGCUAACUCCGUG